CUCGAGCUACGUGUGUGUUCAUUUGCACGUCCUCUUGCUGCUUUUUCUUCGAAACGAUCGUACGAGUUUCAAGAAUGCGUCUCAAACAUAAUUUUAGUUCGCGUAUUCUGCAAAUUAUUUUUUUUGGCAAAUUUUUCAAAUUCUUCCGUAACUUUAAAUUGGAAAAUGAAAAGCUUGCAAUUCGAAAUUGCAAAAUGGGGAGCUUAAAUUGAAAAAUGGGCCUAUGGAAUCCUGAAUAAUCGCGACUAUCGCAGAUGUUCGUUUCUACCGUGGCAGUCGACGUAUAAAUCUUCCAACCGUGGGCAAUCUUUUUCAUUUUCCUACAGAAAAUUAUGGGUUAAUUUUUUUACGCUAUUUUGAUUCGUUGUUAACCAUACGUAGAAAAGAAAAAAGAACAAGAGAAACGACCGAAUUCACGGUAAGAGUACGAAACAGAAAAUAUGCUUGAAACGUCGGGAAAUGUUUUUUGUCCCGAGUGUGAAACGUUGUCCUUCAGUCUUAAUACUACCGUUGGCUUUUUCGAGCUGAACGACACGAACGCGGUUGACGAUCCGCAAGAAAUACUCGUCCCAUCUAGGUGUUUUCUCUCGACAAUUGAUAAGGGUACAAGAAUUUUUGCGGCUAUUGUACACCAAUGUAUUUUUUCGAUUUUCAAGCGUUUCUCGAGUAUACUCUACAGGAUCAACUAUUUACAGCAUUGUCUAAAUAAUUACUAGUAAACAAAGAGGUAAACGAGAGAAAAAGGGAAGAAAACGGAAGCAAAAUGGGAAGAAAAGGAAAAAAAUAGUGAAGAAAUAGUCGCGCGAUUCGCUGGAAGAUGGAGUUUAUUCCCGGAGGGAUCGUUUUUCGCGACGAUGCGAGGGAAAUUUCUUAGGUGGACUACGGGAGAUUGCGCGAAGAUUUAUUUGGCAAAACGCCAUUUAGGAAAUUGGUAUCCCGUCUAGAUGGCUGCGUUGAAGAUCACCAAAGCCAGGAACGGAAACAGGUAGCAAAUGAAGAAGUACAUCCAGUGGACGUAAAUGUGUUUCUCCGUGUAGAAAUCUACCUCCCAAAAUCUACGAAAAGCGCAGGACAACGAUACUUUAUAGAUCUUCCGAAACAUGGCACGGUCCGAAAGUUUCGAGAAUCUUUGUAGACUCUGCUUAAUCCUCGAUACUAGCAUAGUAAAAGAGUACGUAUCACGGUGGAUUAUCAAAACUUUCGUCUCGUCUUUCGCGUAAGAGAUUACUCACUUGGGUAA
Molecule: unclassified non-coding RNA, 1240 nt
Filed under: Megachile rotundata (alfalfa leafcutting bee)
Lineage: Eukaryota; Metazoa; Arthropoda; Insecta; Hymenoptera; Megachilidae
Description: uncharacterized LOC100880958, transcript variant X6
Source: RNAcentral